RNAcentral lists this ribosomal RNA (253 nucleotides) under uncultured bacterium. Its description in RNAcentral is "partial 16S ribosomal RNA". It matches the Rfam family "Bacterial small subunit ribosomal RNA", at positions 524 to 776 of the family's 1533-position model. The record is from RNAcentral.
UACAGAGGGGGCAAGCGUUGUUCGGAAUUACUGGGCGUAAAGGGCGCGUAGGCGGCCUUCUAAGUCAGACGUGAAAUCCCUCGGCUCAACCGGGGAACUGCGUCUGAGACUGGAAGGCUUGAAUCCGGGAGAGGGAUGUGGAAUUCCAGGUGUAGCGGUGAAAUGCGUAGAUAUCUGGAGGAACACCGGUGGCGAAGGCGGCAUCCUGGACCGGUAUUGACGCUGAGGCGCGAAAGCGUGGGGAGCAAACAGG